Lytechinus variegatus (green sea urchin) is the source of this 1614-nucleotide long non-coding RNA. RefSeq lists it as uncharacterized. The transcript has 2 exons. Lineage: Eukaryota; Metazoa; Echinodermata; Echinoidea; Temnopleuroida; Toxopneustidae. The record is from RefSeq and is a predicted model, not a curated record.
UAAAAAAUAAAGGUCUUUUUGACCUAUAAAGAGCGUUAUUAAAGUUUGCUGAACAAAAUACAAGAGAUGCGUAUCUAUCUCGAUGAUAAUGAUAAUAAUGGUGAUGAUAAUGAUAAUCAUAAUAAUAUCUGAGUUGUACUGCAUCAAAUCCAAUCUGAAUGUAAUGACAAAUAUGAUGAUAAUAAUUGUGAUAAUAAUAACACAUCAAUGGAGUAUGCAUGUAUACUUUUCAGAACUUGAUGGAACGUCGAUGCUUGAAUGUUCAAAUGUAACUUGCAAGGAAGGUAGAUGGUUUCAUAUGGAUUGUGUCAUGGUGUCAGACGGGGAAGAAGAGACCGACUGGUUCUGCAGUAAAGAAUGCACAGAAUCUGGUAAUGGCCAAUUCUGUAUAUGCAGGAGUAAAGAUGGGGGCAUUUUAAAGUGGACUUGUUCGAACAGUUCCUGUGAGAAGGGGAAGUCCUUCCAUCACUCCUGCGUGAGAUCGACAACAAUCUCUCACGGUAAAUCUUAAAACAAAGGGCCUAUUGGUCCAAGACUCCAACUGCAAGUAAUGAAACAGGGAUUUAAUCCCGUGGGGAAAUAUCCCCGCUCCACCUUUCGGUGAGGUGUGAUGGCAUGCCAUCCCCACCAAGACAGAAACAAUAUAUUUUAUCAAGGAGCUCUAUUUUGAAGCUCCUUGACUUUAUUAUCACAUCUUGUCAAAACGUAACAUUUUGCUCCACACUGCGCUCAUAUAAGAAUUGUCCAUCGGACAAUGUUCCCUACACAAAUGUAUAGCUUUAUUUUAAUAUCCUUUGCGUCAUGAGAGUAUCAUCACCUAUAUGAUUAUCCUUUUUAGACAAAGACUGGUUUUGCUCGCCAGCUUGCGGUGAACAAGAUGAUGAGUUGCUCUACUACCUGCAGCAUUGUACAUUUUCCAGCUUAUUCAAUGAGUGCUUGAGGGAUGCUGAACGUGAAGGUGAUGGUGAAGCAUCGCGCCGUUAUUGGAAAUUGUACAUGCCUGACCUAUUUUGUAAGGGACACAGCAAGUAUGUUGCAAUCGCACAUCAGUAUCUUGCAGGUAAGAGUGUCCAAUGCACGAAUGUGAAAAAAAUAAUAACUUACCCUCAUUCAACGGGCUAGUCGUAUAAACUUUGCAGUGUAAUAUAAAAAAGACACCAUCACUAGAUUAUUUUGUUUUGAGCGGAAUUGAGAUUGUGGCCCCGAAAUAGAACACUUUCAAUCUUCAGUCAUUUAUAGCCAAAGACCACAAAAAACCCAUAAAUUUAGUUAUCCUGACACAGGUAUAUAGAAUUGGUCAACUGGUCAAUCAUAUUAAUUCUGACAACAGAAAACGACUUGUAUGAUAUAGAAAAAUGGUUUUAACAGUAUGGGACCUGCUAUUGACUAAAAUGUUAUUACCACUGUUAAAACAUCUUAUGAUUAUAUACAUUACACUAUAAAACAUCAGGCACUGCAGGGUUUUAUCCACCGCGCAUCCAACAAGAAGCAGUGUACAACCGCACUGUGAAUCUAAGCGGCGGAGCUGGGAAAAACAAGGCGAUGGAUUUCCAGAUGGAAACAUUCAACCACCACCUGAAAGGCAAGUUCAUCAUUAAGUUCAAGCCCACUAAA